Long non-coding RNA from Piliocolobus tephrosceles (Ugandan red Colobus), 1011 nucleotides. RefSeq lists it as uncharacterized. NCBI's taxonomy places the organism in Eukaryota, Metazoa, Chordata, Mammalia, Primates, Cercopithecidae. The record is from RefSeq and is a predicted model, not a curated record. The transcript has 3 exons.
UGAAGGUGAGAGGAAGGGUGUUCCUGGCAGAAGGCACAGCAUGGGCAAGGGCAUGAUGGCAGGAGCGUAUGGCUUGUGUUCAAGGAGGAGUCCUGUUGGCCGGAGAUAUGGAUCUAGAAACUGCAUGAUUUGGCCAUUGAUUGGAUCAAGAUCUGAAUGAGGAUAAAUGGGAAGAGGUGGUAAUUAGCCAUUCUGGCAUUUUGUGACUGAUGAUCGGAGAUACUUCAGACAGGUGAAAUAGCUGGUUCGGAUGGUGAUCAAUGAGGAGUUUGAGGGCUGCCAUGGUGCCCUGGCACUCCUAUUCCCAGGGGAGCGUCUGCCAGGCUGGAGCACACCAUGGGGCAAGGGAGACAAUGGCCCAACACCCUCCAGAGGCCAGAAGGGGUGAACCUGAUGGAAGAUAUUCACAUCCCCCCAACAGCGGGUGGAGGGAAUAAACAAUGCCUCAUUGGAAAGUAUAAGUCCUUGAGGUGUGUUCAUUCACUCUCUAUGAUGACCUUUUAGCUUAGGCUCUGCCAUCCUCCCUGUGUUACAGAUGGGCUAAGAAGAACGUUUCUCGUAAGGCCGUUGUGAGGAUCACAUGAGGUAAGUGUUAUAAGGGACUCAACACACAGCCUGCAAUGUGGUCAGAGUGCAGUGGAGAUUAGCCACCGCCACUGGGGGGAGGUUGUUGUCAUGGGCUCUGCCUGGUUAUUGCAUUUCUCUGCUUUAAUCUCCACAUGGCUGGGUUAGAAGGGCCAUUUCCAGGGCCUUCCCAAACUGAGGGCCUCCAUCCUCAGGUGGUCCUCUCCCUGACCCAACGCUGUUCUCUGCAAUGACAGAUCACAAGAAUCUCCUCGUCUGGUGGACUCACCAAGAACAAGCCCCCGCCCCAGGUAGAGGUACCUGACUCAGGCACCCUGUAGUCCCGUCCUUCCGAGCACCAAAGGAUCCCAGGCUUGCCUGUCCCAGAGUGAGCCACUCCACAGCAGUAGGGCCUUGGAGCAUUUACCUUUACAGCAACAAGCCCAU